AAGGAGAACAGUUUAGAACUGAUAGAGCUAUAAAGUAUACGUUUAGUUUUGGUUUUCUCCUGUAGUGACCCUGUAGAUGAUCCUUACUGGAGGAAACUUAAACUAAACUAACUUCAUUUUUACUGGAUAGCUCUAUCAGUUCUAAACUGUUCUUCCU
Paramuricea clavata is the source of this 157-nucleotide non-coding RNA. The record is from the annotation of a GenBank genome assembly. Lineage: Eukaryota; Metazoa; Cnidaria; Anthozoa; Malacalcyonacea; Plexauridae.